This 1551-nucleotide ribosomal RNA is filed under the name Salmonella enterica subsp. enterica serovar Infantis. Its description in RNAcentral is "bacterial LSU rRNA". It matches the Rfam family "Bacterial large subunit ribosomal RNA", at positions 1278 to 2812 of the family's 2925-position model. The record is from RNAcentral. Lineage: Bacteria; Pseudomonadati; Pseudomonadota; Gammaproteobacteria; Enterobacterales; Enterobacteriaceae.
GGUAUCAGAAGUGCGAAUGCUGACAUAAGUAACGAUAAAGCGGGUGAAAAGCCCGCUCGCCGGAAGACCAAGGGUUCCUGUCCAACGUUAAUCGGGGCAGGGUGAGUCGACCCCUAAGGCGAGGCCGAAAGGCGUAGUCGAUGGGAAACGGGUUAAUAUUCCCGUACUUGGUGUUACUGCGAAGGGGGGACGGAGAAGGCUAUGUUGGCCGGGCGACGGUUGUCCCGGUUUAAGCGUGUAGGUGUGUGUUCCAGGUAAAUCCGGUUCACUUUAACACUGAGGCGUGAUGACGAGGCACUACGGUGCUGAAGCAACAAAUGCCCUGCUUCCAGGAAAAGCCUCUAAGCAUCAGGUAACAUCAAAUCGUACCCCAAACCGACACAGGUGGUCAGGUAGAGAAUACCAAGGCGCUUGAGAGAACUCGGGUGAAGGAACUAGGCAAAAUGGUGCCGUAACUUCGGGAGAAGGCACGCUGACACGUAGGUGAAGUGAUUUACUCAUGGAGCUGAAGUCAGUCGAAGAUACCAGCUGGCUGCAACUGUUUAUUAAAAACACAGCACUGUGCAAACACGAAAGUGGACGUAUACGGUGUGACGCCUGCCCGGUGCCGGAAGGUUAAUUGAUGGGGUCAGCGCAAGCGAAGCUCCUGAUCGAAGCCCCGGUAAACGGCGGCCGUAACUAUAACGGUCCUAAGGUAGCGAAAUUCCUUGUCGGGUAAGUUCCGACCUGCACGAAUGGCGUAAUGAUGGCCAGGCUGUCUCCACCCGAGACUCAGUGAAAUUGAACUCGCUGUGAAGAUGCAGUGUACCCGCGGCAAGACGGAAAGACCCCGUGAACCUUUACUAUAGCUUGACACUGAACAUUGAGCCUUGAUGUGUAGGAUAGGUGGGAGGCUUUGAAGCGUGGACGCCAGUCUGCGUGGAGCCGACCUUGAAAUACCACCCUUUAAUGUUUGAUGUUCUAACGUGGACCCGUAAUCCGGGUUGCGGACAGUGUCUGGUGGGUAGUUUGACUGGGGCGGUCUCCUCCUAAAGAGUAACGGAGGAGCACGAAGGUUGGCUAAUCCUGGUCGGACAUCAGGAGGUUAGUGCAAUGGCAUAAGCCAGCUUGACUGCGAGCGUGACGGCGCGAGCAGGUGCGAAAGCAGGUCAUAGUGAUCCGGUGGUUCUGAAUGGAAGGGCCAUCGCUCAACGGAUAAAAGGUACUCCGGGGAUAACAGGCUGAUACCGCCCAAGAGUUCAUAUCGACGGCGGUGUUUGGCACCUCGAUGUCGGCUCAUCACAUCCUGGGGCUGAAGUAGGUCCCAAGGGUAUGGCUGUUCGCCAUUUAAAGUGGUACGCGAGCUGGGUUUAGAACGUCGUGAGACAGUUCGGUCCCUAUCUGCCGUGGGCGCUGGAGAACUGAGGGGGGCUGCUCCUAGUACGAGAGGACCGGAGUGGACGCAUCACUGGUGUUCGGGUUGUCAUGCCAAUGGCACUGCCCGGUAGCUAAAUGCGGAAGAGAUAAGUGCUGAAAGCAUCUAAGCACGAAACUUGCCCCGAGAUGAGUUCU